RNAcentral lists this ribosomal RNA (502 nucleotides) under uncultured bacterium. RNAcentral describes it as "bacterial SSU rRNA". It matches the Rfam family "Bacterial small subunit ribosomal RNA", at positions 29 to 524 of the family's 1533-position model. The record is from RNAcentral.
AACGAACGCUGGCGGCGCGCCUAAUACAUGCAAGUCGAGCGAGAAGACGUAGCAAUACGUUUGUAAAGCGGCGAACGGGUGAGGAAUACAUGGGUAACCCACCCUCGAGUGGGGAAUAACUAGCCGAAAGGUUAGCUAAUACCGCGUACGCUCCUCGGACUUCGGUUCAGGGAGGAAAGCGAUACCGUGGGUAUCGCGCUCUUGGAUGGGCUCAUGUCCUAUCAGCUUGUUGGUGAGGUAACGGCUCACCAAGGCUUCGACGGGUAGCUGGUCUGAGAGGACGAUCGGCCACACUGGCACUGCGACACGGGCCAGACUCCUACGGGAGGCAGCAGUAAGGAAUAUUGCGCAAUGGGCGAAAGCCUGACGCAGCGACGCCGCGUGGGGGAUGAAGGUCUUCGGAUUGUAAACCCCUUUCGGGAGGGAAGAUGGAACGAGCAAUCGUUCGGACGGUACCUCCAGAAGCAGCCACGGCUAACUUCGUGCCAGCCGCCGCAGUAAC